GGUAUAUGUUUUCCAUAUAUAUAUCAAAACCUCGGGAUGUCAUGUUCCGAUACAGAUCAAAAGCAUAAACAAGACAUUAUAAGCCUUUCAACAGUUAUUUACAACUACUGGCCUAUAAUCCAAAAAUCUCUUGUCGUUCUCCGACUAUGCUCGGGGUCCACUACUUGUAACAUAAAAAGCUGAGUGGGUCAAGCUUGGGAGCCUGGUGAGCAUAUAGGGUUUUUCAACCCACAAUAAUAAUAUACUUAUUAAGUUCACCAAUCAACAAUAACCCUGAUUACCCAUUCCUGUUGUCCUCACUUUAUGUCCCUAAACACCUAUCACAAGGGACCUAGCCUAAGGAUUAUCAUCGGGAUGGACACUACUGCUAAGGCGAUUCCUCAGCAAUAAAUGUCCUAAAGGCAACCAUGUGGGGGAUGGAGUACAUCUGGUGAGCACACAGUUCAAAUAAACACACAGUUCGAAUAAACACCUACAGGUUGCUAGCCUGCUAGUGUUCCACUGGACUAUCUAGAAAGUCCGUGGUCGUCAUCUAUACUCCGCUAGAUGACUAGAUCAUCAAUAUCAUCUAUAACGAGGCCUUUCAUUAUUUCAUUUUAUCAUACAACAACUAUCAUAUCUACCCAUGUUCUACCCAACACAUUUUGUAGAUAAAAAGCAUAUACAAUUUAAAACUUGUAUAAAACAUCAAUUCAACAGUCACCUCGAAUAAACAAUUAGCAUAUUUACACAUAACACGUAUUUCAAGGUAAAUACUUCAUAUCUAUGUGUAAAUUGAAAGUAACUACACACUCACUUAUUUUGGUGAAAAUCGGGCAGCAAUUCGUUUCCUAAAACGAUCGUUUCUAAUAAAACCGGGAGUUUUAUUGAGAAACCGGGCUCUGCAAAAGUCGGGCUUCGAAACCGAAAAGAUAAAUUUUCCGGGCUUCUCGGGCACUUCGUGGGGUAUUCCGGGCUUUACAAUUGAUACCGGGGCUUUGCGGGAUGUUAAGAUGAAGAAAAUAUGGAGAGAGGGGCUAAAAAUGGCUAAAUUCCAAAAGUAACCGGAAACCCUCGCAGGUACCCUUCUAUUUAUAGGGUCCGAAGUUUGAUCCAANAUGGAGAGAGGGGCUAAAAAUGGCUAAAUUCCAAAAGUAACCGGAAACCCUCGCAGGUACCCUUCUAUUUAUAGGGUCCGAAAUUCUGAUCCAAGGGCUGAGAAGUCUCCUGUUCCGACGGCUAAGAAGGCUCGUAGGGGGUUGGCUCGGACAUGGCUCGCACAUGCGAGGGCUCGCUGGCGGCUUUUAAGUGGACCGCGGCUUACUGGCGCACCUACGAGGCGCGGAGCUAGGCUAUGCGAGGCUCGGACACACGCGGCAGCAGGGCGAAGCUUCGGCUGGGGAGCUGGCUGCUUCGGAUUGGGCCUCCUCCUCGGUCGAAUCAGAAGAGGACACGUGGCUCGCAUGACUCAGCAGCCUCGGUGACUCAGCAGCCUAAUGACUCAGCAGCCAGGUGACUCAGCAGGACACGUGUCACUUUCUAAGCGAGGGUGACGUGGCAAUUGUGACUAUGCGAAAUUUCUCGGUUUUCGUGCCAAAACUUCUAAAAUCCAUAACUUUCGCAUACGAGCUCCGUUUUUGACGUUCUUUAUAUGCACGCGUAGCUAAAAUUACGAUCUACAACUUCCGUUUAGACUUCGUCGGCUAAUUUUGAAUUUAAAUUUUAUAUUAUUAUUUUUAACAGACCGGGACAGGAAAUCCGUUAAAAAUUCAUAACUUCUUCAUCCGACGUCCGUUUUCGUCAGACUUUUUACCGUUGUGCUCCUAAUGACGAGACCUUCAAUUCUCGUUUAGGUUGUGUCGGCUAAAAAUCGCUCGAUCUAAAAUUCGAGUUUUUAGCUGUCUACUGCUACGCUGAAACUUCGAAAAAUCAUAACUUCCUCAUACGAAGUCAGAUUUGGGCGUUCUUUUUAUCGAACUUCUCGGUUUAACGAAUACUACGACUUUCGUUUAGAUUACUAAGGCUAAAAAGUAGUUUAUCAAAAACUCACUUUUUACGACAUUCAGCACCGUGCCGGUUUUGUCGCGAAACUUCGACAGGUCAUAACUUCUUCGUUAUAACUCGGAUUUUGGUAUUCUUUAUAUCCCCGAAAUCCUUGUUUCGACCACUACAACUUUAUGUAAAGAUAUCGGGCUUAUCUCACACUUUAAUUUUGACGCUUAUUUUUAUUCUUAAUUAAUUAAGCCCUAAUAAUUAAGCAUAAAACACAUAAUUCACAUAAUAUUCACAUAAUUCCUUUUCAUUUCUUCAAAAUGAGUUACAAAGGUUAACCUAGACUAUCAACUCAAUAUAAAUGCCUAGGCUAGAAACACGAGUGUUACAAUUCUCUCCCCCUUAGGAUGAUUCCGUCCCCGGAAUCACAUAUCACCAAACAACUGCGGGUAGCGACUCAUCAUGUCACUCUCCGUUUCCCAAGUGAGAUUUGGUCCAUUCGUAUGUUUCCAGCGCACAAGCACUAAAUCGACCAUCUUGCGUCGUAACUUCAUAGUCUUACGGUCAACGAUUGCCUCAGGUUCUUCGAUCAACCUCUUGUUUUCAUCCAACCUUAACUCAGAAAUCGGAAUUAUGUCGGGCACAUCUCCUGUGAACUUUCUCAAAUAACACACAUGAAAGGUGUUAUGAAUACCCUCUAGUUCUUCCGGUAACUCUAGCUUGUAAGCUUGAUUCCCGAUUCUCUGAAGAACUUUAAAUGGUCCAAUAAACCUUGGACUCAACUUCCCUCUCUUACCAAAUCUUAUAAGUCCCUUCCACGGCGAGACUUUAAGUAAAACCGAAUCUCCAACAUCGAAGGAUAUCGGUUGUCUUUUCUUGUCAGCAUAACUCUUUUGUCGAUCUUGAGCAGCUAACAUCCUUUCCCUUAUCACUUUCAACUUUUCAGCAGUCUCAUGGACUAUUUCAGGUCCCAUAAACUGCUUUUCCCCAGCUUCCAGCCAACAUGAUGGCGUUCGACACUUCUCCCCAUACAAAGCGUGAUAAGGUGCCAUCUUAAUGCUUGAGUGGAAACUAUUAUUAUAGGAGAAUUCUACUAAAGGUAAGUGUUCAUCCCAGUUACCUUGGAAUUCUAGGGUACAUGCUCUCAGCAUAUCCUCCAAUGUUUGAAUCGUUCGCUCGCUCUGACCAUCGGUUUGCGGAUGGUAAGCUGUACUCAAACACAACUUGGUACCCAAUUCCUCUUGUAGACUCCUCCAAAACCUUGAGGUAAAACGGCUGUCACGAUCGGACACAAUCGUUAACGGAACACCGUGAAGCCUCACAAUUUCCUUCACGUAAGAAUUCGCAAGUUUAUCCAUAGACCAUUUCUCUUUGGCCGCUAUGAAAUGCGCACUCUUAGUGAAGCGAUCAACGACCACCCAAAUCAUGUCGUGACCGUUCCUUGUUCUGGGCAGUUUAGUCACAAAAUCCAUGGUGAUGUCUUCCCAUUUACCCAUGGGUACGGGUAAAGGUUCUAAACUCCCAUACGGUUUCUGAUGUUGUGCCUUAACCCUAGCACAAGUUACACACUCGGCCACAUACUUAGCAACAUCGAGCUUCAUCGUCGGCCACCAAUAAUAGGGUUUUAGAUCCCUAUACAUUUUCGUACUGCCGGGAUGAAUUGAGUACAUGGUCUUGUGAGCUUCUUCCAUCAGAAGAUCUCUUAUUCCGCCCGUCUUAGGUACCCAAAUUCUAUCUUGAAAUACCUUCAACCCUUGGUUGUUUGUACCGAACACUAACGUUUUGCCCAAACGUUCUUCCUUUCGGUCAUUUUUCUCUAAAGCUUCCUCUUGAGCUUUCUUUAUACUUUCCACAAUUGUCGAGACAACUUCAAUUCUCAACGCUCUUGGCCUUUUCUUUUCAAGGUUUACCUUCCGACUGAGAGCAUCGGCAACAACAUUUGCUUUACCAGGGUGGUAAAGUAUCUCACAGUCGUAGUCCUUGAGUAACUCUAGCCAGCGUCGUUGCCUCAUGUUCAAUUCCUUCUGAUUAAAGAGAUAUUGGAGACUCUUAUGAUCAGUGAAAAGUUUACACUUGGUGCCAUAAAGAUAAUGCCUCCAUAUCUUCAAGGCAAAUACUACCGCUGCCAACUCCAAAUCAUGAGUGGGGUAGUUCUUUUCAUGUUCCUUCAAUUGCCUCGAUGCAUACGCGAUCACUUUAUCCCUUUGGGUCAGAACACAACCUAACCCAACUCCGGAUGCAUCGCUAUAAACUGCAAAGUCAUCAACUCCUUCAGGCAAUGAAAGAAUCGGUGCUUCACACAAUCUCUUCUUCAACUUCUCAAAGGCUUCCUUAUGCUUCUCAUUCCAAGCAUAAGUGGCUCCUUUGUGGGUCAAAGCUAUUAAUGGGGUAGCAAUCGAAGAAAAGCCUUGGAUAAACCUUCGGUAAUAUCCAGCUAAUCCUAAAAUGCUUCGAAUCUUCGUAGGGCUUUUUGGUUGUUCCCACUUCAUUAUAGCUUCAAUCUUUGCUGGGUCGACCAUUAUCCCUUCUUGGUUAACCACAUGACCUAAAAAUUGGACUUCUUGAAUCCAAAAUUCACACUUGGAGAACUUUGCAUACAACUUCUCCUUUUUCAGGACUUCUAGCACUUCAUGCAGACGCUUUUCAUGCUCCUGCUUGCUUUUCGAAUAAAUCAAGAAAUCAUCUAUGAGUACUAUCACGGAUUUAUCUAAGAAUGGUUUACAAACCGCCACACUUGUAGCAGGUUACUUCCUCGCCACAUUUUCCCGAGUGCUUCUUCUUGCACUUCUUGCACCAUUUAAAUUUAUUUCCUCCCCUGAACUUCUUUAAACCGAACUUGAUCUUUUUGCAGGGUUUAGCAGACCCUUCAAAUUUACUCUUCUCGCCAACCUCGACUUUGCUGGCAGCUCUUCCCUUAAUCAUGUCCUCCACAGACUUGGCAGCCCAGAUAGCUGCCUCCAAAGUAAGUGCCUGACGUACAGACAUCGCGUACUCCCAUGGAAGUCCCUUUGCGUACCUGUCUAUUUUUGCCAACUCAUCUGGGACAAUACGCAAAGCAAACUCCAUUUUGUCUGUGAAGUUAUUCGUAUAUUCGUCAACGGUCAUACUCCCCUUCUGCAACGUUAGAAAUUGGUUUUCUAACUCAAGUACGUUUUGGGCCGAGCAGUACUUGCGCUUGAAGUGCACUAAAAACGUUGCCCAAGUUAAUUGCAGUGGCUCAUUAGGGCUUAGGGUUUUCCCCAAAGUGGUCCACCAACGAACAGCACUACCCCUGAACCGAUGUAAUGCAAACGUAGUUUGUAACUUGCCUUGGCAAUCACAAGUCAUGAAAGCCAACUCCAUUUCCGAGAUCCAGUCUAUUACUACGACAGGAUCUUCUUUUCCAUUGAAGGUCGAUGGCUUGCAAGUCAUAAAGUCCUUAUACUUGCACCCAUUUCUCUCCAUUCUACCCUCGUGGUUAUUCCUCCCAACCACAAGCGGUUCACUAUGACCAACCGAUCUACUGUUGUUCCCUUCUUCAGAUCGAUCGUCAUUUAGUUCAUGUUGUUCAACAGGAACUGAAGGUUCAUCCCUGUCGUUCAGCAACAUUUGCCUCAAUUCCUCCUUCUGUUCAGCCAACAUGCUCUGAAUCAUGGUUCGUACUCCAGCCAUGGUGAUGGGUUCAAGUUCAGCUCCUACUAUAGGCACAUGUUCCACCACUUGAGGUUGAGGUUGUUGGUUUCUGUUUGCAUUUCCAGCUCCACUCCGAGUUCUUGCCAUUACAAUCUAUAUACCGAAUAAGGCGAAUUUUAGGUCUUUAUCCUUGCUAGACAUGUCAAUUCCCUUAUCACUCCGAAACGUUUACAUGUUAGUUCUAAUCUCGUAUUCAUACGCUUAGAAUCCUACACACAUAAGGUUUCCAGAUCCGGUCGGCAACAGACCAUAGAUCCGAACAAAUAAUGGCACACAUGGCAAACACAUAGCAUUUAGCACAUAAGGGCAUUUUAGGCAUCUUCCCUAAAAUAAACUAGUGCUCGUGUCUAAAAUAUGGUAGACACUCAUCUCACAAUCAUCACUUAGCAUUCUAAGUUCAAGUCUAGAAAUUCUACAAUUUCUUAGUUCGCUUAAACUAAUGCUCUGAUACCAACUGUGACAUCCCCAUAUUUCUCGGCCAGAAAAGACCGAUUUAAUUUAUGCUUUUUAAAAUAAAAUCAGAGAAAUCUUUUUAUAAGAUAUUGCGGAAUUGGUCCCCAAACAAUAUAUGAUAAAAGUUUAUCAAAAUCCUUCAUUAAGAAGGUAUAUAUUUUCCAUAUAUAUAUCAAAACCUCGGGAUGUCAUGUUCCGAUACAGAUCAAAAGCAUAAACAAGACAUUAUAAGCCUUUCAACAGUUAUUUACAACUACUGGCCUAUAAUCCAAAAAUCUCUCGUCGUCCUCCGACUAUGCUCGGGGUCCACUACCUGUAAUCAUAAAACUGAGUGGGUCAGGCUUGGGAGCCUGGUGAGCAUAUAGGGUUUUCAACCCACAAUAAUAAUAUACUUAUUAAGUUCACCAAUCAACAAUAACCCUGAUUACCCAUUCCCGUUGUCCUCACUUUACGUCCCUAAACACCUAUCACAAGGGACCUAGCCUAAGGAUUAUCAUCGGGAUGGACACUACUGCUAAGGGGUUUCCUCAGCCAUACAUGUCCUUAAGGCAACCAUGAGGGGGAUGAAGUACGCCAAUGAACAUUUAAUUCAUCAACACCUACAAGUUGCGAACCUGCUAGUGUUCCACUGGACUAUCUAGAAAGUCCGUGGUCGUCAUCUAUACUUCGCUAGAUGACUACAACAACAACAACAACAUCGACAUCGAGGCCUCUCACCAUUUUAACACACAUCAACUAUUUCAUCUACCCAUGUUCUACCCAACAUAUUUUGUAGAUAAAAAGCAUAUACAGUUUAAAACUUGUAUAAAACAUCAAUUCAACAGUCACCUCGAAUAAACAAUUAGCAUAUUUACACAUAACACGUAUUUCAAGGUAAAUACUUCAUAUCUAUGUGUAAAUUGAAAGUAACUACACACUCACUUAUUUUGGUGAAAAUCGGGCAGCAAUUCGUUUCCUAAAACGAUCGUUUCUAAUAAAACCGGGAGUUUUAUUGAGAAACCGGGCUCUGCAAAAGUCGGGCUUCGAAACCGAAAAGAUAAAUUUUCCGGG
RNAcentral lists this long non-coding RNA (7146 nucleotides) under Lactuca sativa (garden lettuce). Its description in RNAcentral is "long non-coding RNA (LSAT_LNC001782)". Lineage: Eukaryota; Viridiplantae; Streptophyta; Magnoliopsida; Asterales; Asteraceae. The record is from RNAcentral.